AUUGAACGCUGGCGGCAUGCUUUACACAUGCAAGUCGAACGGCAGCACGGGUGCUUGCACCUGGUGGCGAGUGGCGGACGGGUGAGUAAUGCAUCGGAACGUGUCCUGAAGUGGGGGAUAACGCAUCGAAAGAUGUGCUAAUACCGCAUAUUCUCUGAGGAGGAAAGUAGGGGAUCGAAAGACCUUAUGCUUUUGGAGCGGCCGAUGUCUGAUUAGCUAGUUGGUAGGGUAAUGGCUUACCAAGGCGACGAUCAGUAGUUGGUCUGAGAGGACGGCCAGCCACACUGGGACUGAGACACGGCCCAGACUCCUACGGGAGGCAGCAGUGGGGAAUUUUGGACAAUGGGCGCAAGCCUGAUCCAGCAAUGCCGCGUGAGUGAAGAAGGCC
Molecule: ribosomal RNA, 388 nt
Filed under: uncultured bacterium
Lineage: Bacteria
Description: bacterial SSU rRNA
Rfam family: Bacterial small subunit ribosomal RNA
Source: RNAcentral